Molecule: transfer RNA, 98 nt
Filed under: Streptomyces fructofermentans
Lineage: Bacteria; Bacillati; Actinomycetota; Actinomycetes; Kitasatosporales; Streptomycetaceae
Description: tRNA-His
Source: RNAcentral
GGCGGUGAUGGCCUCCACGGUGGUGGGCCCGCUCGUGGAGCGGGUGAUGUCGGCGUCGGAGAGGAUGCCCUCGCGGAUCUUCUUCGCGUUGGCGUCGC